Molecule: transfer RNA, 69 nt
Filed under: Niphades castanea
Lineage: Eukaryota; Metazoa; Arthropoda; Insecta; Coleoptera; Curculionidae
Description: tRNA-Gln
Source: RNAcentral
UACACUUUAGUAUGUGAUGUAUGAGAGUUUUUGAUACUUUAGGGAAUAGUUUAAAUCUAUUAAGUGUAU